Molecule: ribosomal RNA, 484 nt
Filed under: uncultured bacterium
Lineage: Bacteria
Description: partial 16S ribosomal RNA
Rfam family: Bacterial small subunit ribosomal RNA
Source: RNAcentral
GACGAACGCUGGCGGCGUGCUUAACACAUGCAAGUCGAACGAUGAACCCGGAGCUUGCUCCGGCGGAUUAGUGGCGAACGGGUGAGAAACACGUGAGUAACCUGCCCUUGACUCUGGGAUAACUGCGGGAAACUGUAGCUAAUACCGGAUACGACCCUCGGCGGCAUCGCCAGGGGGUGGAAAGAAUUUCGGUCAAGGAUGGACUCGCGGCCUAUCAGCUAGUUGGUGAGGUAACGGCACACCAAGGCGACGACGGGUAGCCGGCCGGAGAGGGUGACCGGCCACACUGUGACUGAGACACGGCCCAGACUCCUACGGGAGGCAGCAGUUGGGAAUAUUGCACAAUGGGCGCAAGCCUGAUGCAGCAACGCCGCGUGAGGGAUGACGGCCUUCGGGUUGUAAACCUCUUUUAGUAGGGAAGAAGCGAAAGUGACGGUACCUGCAGAAAAAGCACCGGCUAACUACGUGCCAGCCGCCGCGGUAA